This 330-nucleotide ribosomal RNA is filed under the name Triticum aestivum (bread wheat). RNAcentral's name for it is "partial small subunit ribosomal RNA". Lineage: Eukaryota; Viridiplantae; Streptophyta; Magnoliopsida; Poales; Poaceae. The record is from RNAcentral.
AUGGCCAUGCCGCCGCCGCCUGCAGAGUCCGCCCGGAUGGAGGAAGCGCUUGGGGCGAGGGAGAGGUCUAGGCGUCGUCCCGGUGCUCGUCUCCCUCUGGUGUCCGGUGUUGUCUGCUGGCUGCUGCUGCUGUGUGCGCGGGAGAUUGGGAGGAGGCUUCGGAUGGGAUGGAAGAAUUUUAUACUGAUUAACUAUCUUCUGUGGGAAGCUUCAGCUGUUGAUUUCAGCAGAAGAUGUGUGGUGUGCUGCUGCUAUUUCGGCGACAACGCUAACACAGAGAUUGGUACUUUGGUGUGUUCCUUGGAUGGACGACCGGUCAAGGUCAGAUGA